AUGUGUAAUGGUUUGUAUAUUUACUUUCCGUACAUACACCGUUGGCCGUAUAAAGUUCUUUAACUCAGAAUAAAAACGACUGGACUAGUGUUGAGAAGACUUUUUGAGUGCCAAGGUUGAUUUUUACUUCUUCUUCAUCUUUUUUUCAUCUUCUUGUCGCGCCACGGAAAACGGAGAUUAGAGUUGGAGAGAAAAAAAAAACAAACAAAUUCAAAUAAACCAAGAAACAGCCAAUCGUGAUGAUAAUUAAUAACUAGAAAGAAGAAAUGAAACAAUUUCGAGUUUCGAAAAAGAAAAUGUUCAUGAUGAGGAAAAAAGGCGGGUAAGGAGGAGCGAUCCAGGGUGGGUGGGGGGGGGAGGUGGGAUUUAUAAGGGCAUUACAGUAGUUUGUGGAGAGAAAAAAGUGAUGCACGGGAAAGUGACAAAUAUUUCAUAGAGAUAGAGUAAUAGAGAGAGAGAGAGAGAGAAAAAGAGAUGGAGAGAGUGUGUGGUGUGUGUGUUUUAAUGUGUGUGUAUUUAAGAGAGAGAGAGAGCAAGGGAUUGACGUAAUUUUUCAGGGACAAAAUGUGGGUGGGCAGUUUCCAUACAAGGUGUGGCGAUUUUCGAUGGUGACGGCCUUACGUCACGAUGAAUAAAAGAGCUCGCGUCCGAAAGGUGUGUGUGUUCGUGUGCACAAAAUGGAAGGGUGGGAGGGCAGGUCAAAGCAUUUGGCACCAUAGAAAAACAAAAGUAUAGUUAUCAUCUCCUCUCCUCAUACAACACGUAAAAACCCCAUCAGAUUUUUCGAUUAAAAAAAAAAAAACAAAUUGUAUUAUAAUUUAUCCCUCCAUAAUUUUUGAAGAUGGUUCCGCGUCAUUCUGUUCCCAAGUCCCGUCUGCUGAUCUUUUUUUUUUCAUUUGAGA
This is a long non-coding RNA of Daphnia pulex (common water flea), 902 nucleotides long. RefSeq lists it as uncharacterized. The record is from RefSeq and is a predicted model, not a curated record. Lineage: Eukaryota; Metazoa; Arthropoda; Branchiopoda; Diplostraca; Daphniidae. The transcript is spliced from 2 exons.